This 97-nucleotide ribosomal RNA is filed under the name Lysinibacillus sp. ZYM-1. Its description in RNAcentral is "partial 23S ribosomal RNA". It matches the Rfam family "Bacterial large subunit ribosomal RNA", at positions 2830 to 2925 of the family's 2925-position model. Lineage: Bacteria; Bacillati; Bacillota; Bacilli; Caryophanales; Bacillaceae. The record is from RNAcentral.
AAGAUCCCUCAAAGACGAUGAGGUAGAUAGGUUCGAGGUGGAAGUGUGGUGACACAUGGAGCUGACGAAUACUAAUCGAUCGAGGACUUAACCAAAA